AGAAUGAACGCUGGCGGCGUGCUUUACACAUGCAAGUCGAGCGAGGCGGGGAGCAAUCCCCAGUCGAGCGGCGAACGGGUGAGUAACGCGUGGAUAACCUACCUCGAGGUGGGGGGAUAACCCGGGGGAAACUCGGGCUAAUACCGCAUAUGACUGUAAGGUCAAAGGGGGGCCGCAAGGCUCUCGCCAUGAGAGGGGUCCGCGUACGAUUAGCUAGUUGGUAGGGUAAUGGCCUACCAAGGCGACGAUCGUUGGCCGGCCUGAGAGGGUGAGUCGGCCGACACUGGAACUGAGAUACGGUCCAGACUCCUACGGGAGGCAGCAGUGGGGAAUUUGCGCAAUGGGCGAAAGCCUGACGCAGCAACGCCGCGUGGAGGAUGGAAGGUCUUUGGAUUGUAAACUCCUGUCAGCGAGGAAAAGGACCAGCCUCAUACGCUAGUUCUUGAUUGUACUGCAGAGACGCCCGCUAACUCUGUCGCCAGCAGCCGAC
This 490-nucleotide ribosomal RNA is filed under the name uncultured soil bacterium. Its description in RNAcentral is "bacterial SSU rRNA". It matches the Rfam family "Bacterial small subunit ribosomal RNA", at positions 26 to 518 of the family's 1533-position model. The record is from RNAcentral.